This 1022-nucleotide small RNA is filed under the name Pongo abelii (Sumatran orangutan). RNAcentral describes it as "processed transcript". The record is from RNAcentral. Lineage: Eukaryota; Metazoa; Chordata; Mammalia; Primates; Hominidae.
AAAAGAAGAGCCGGUCCUGAAGCUCACAACAGUAACAGCCACCAGACAAGGUUCAGCGGCCGGCCCUUCACAUCCAGACUUGCCUGAGAGGACCCACCUCUGGGUGUCCAGUGGUCAGUUGCCCCAGGAUGGGGACCACAGCCAGAGCAGCCUUGGUCUUGACCUAUUUGGCCGUUGCUUCGGCUGCCUCUGAGGGAGGCUUCAAGGCUACAGGGCAGAGGCAGCUGAGGCCAGAGCACUUUCAAGAAGGUAAGAGUUUGGGGGAGCAGCAUGGGAUUGGGACUCCAGGAGGCACUGUGGGCUCUGAUGUCUCCCCUCUUGCCUCUAGUUGGCUACGCAGCUCCCCCCUCCCCACCCCUAUCCCGAAGCCUCCCCAUGGAUCACCCUGACACCUCUCAGCAUGGCCCUCCCUUUGAGGGACAGAGUCAAGGUAAGGUCACCACCCCAUGCCCUCCUCAGUGACCCUCCAGGUUUCUAAUCUGGCCUACAUCCCACUUUUCAGGUGGAAAGGAGGGAAGAGGCCCUCACCCCCUCUCCCAGCCCUGGCUAGGAGAAAGGGUGGGCUGCUCACACAUUCCCCCUUCUAUAGUGCAGCCCCCUCCCUCUCAGGAGGCUACCCCUCUCCAACAGGAAGAGCUGCUACCUGCCCAGCUCCCUGCUGAAAAGGAAGUGGGUCCCCCUCUCCCUCAGGAAGCUGUCCCCCUCCAAAGAGAGCUGCCCUCUCUCCAGCACCCCAAUGAACAGAAGGAAGGAAUGCCAGCUCCAUCUGGGGACCAGAGCCAUCCAGAACCUGAGUCCUGGAAUGCAGCCCAGCACUGCCAACAGGGCCGGUCCCAAGGGGGCUGGGGCCACCGGCUGGAUGGCUUCCCCCCUGGGCGGCCUUCUCCAGACAAUCUGAACCAAAUCUGCCUUCCUAACCGUCAGCAUGUGGUAUAUGGUCCCUGGAACCUACCACAGUCCAGCUACUCCCACCUCACUCGCCAGGGUGAGACCCUCAAUUUCCUGGAGAUUGGAUAUUCCCG